CGGUCCAGACUCCUACGGGAGGCAGCAGUGGGGAAUAUUGCACAAUGGGCGCAAGCCUGAUGCAGCCAUGCCGCGUGUGUGAAGAAGGCCUUCGGGUUGUAAAGCACUUUCAGCGGGGAGGAAGGCGGUGAGGUUAAUAACCUCACCGAUUGACGUUACCCGCAGAAGAAGCACCGGCUAACUCCGUGCCAGCAGCCGCGGUAAUACGGAGGGUGCAAGCGUUAAUCGGAAUUACUGGGCGUAAAGCGCACGCAGGC
RNAcentral lists this ribosomal RNA (257 nucleotides) under Klebsiella pneumoniae. RNAcentral describes it as "partial 16S ribosomal RNA". It matches the Rfam family "Bacterial small subunit ribosomal RNA", at positions 327 to 576 of the family's 1533-position model. Lineage: Bacteria; Pseudomonadati; Pseudomonadota; Gammaproteobacteria; Enterobacterales; Enterobacteriaceae. The record is from RNAcentral.